CAUCCGGAUCAGGGGUUUCUUUCGGCCUCCAGCGGAAUACGAUUGCUGUAGGCCGGCGGAAACUACUUGCUUCUGGUG
This 78-nucleotide microRNA precursor is filed under the name Culex quinquefasciatus (southern house mosquito). Its description in RNAcentral is "mir-2796 microRNA precursor family". It matches the Rfam family "mir-2796 microRNA precursor family". Lineage: Eukaryota; Metazoa; Arthropoda; Insecta; Diptera; Culicidae. The record is from Rfam by way of RNAcentral.